UGCCCUACGGGACGCAGCAGUGGGGAAUAUUGCACAAUGGGGGAAACCUUGAUGCAGCGACGCCGCGUGAGUGAAGAAGUAUUUCGGUAUGUAAAGCUCUAUCAGCAGGGAAGAAGCAAGACGGUACCUGACUAAGAAGCCCCGGCUAACUACGUGCCAGCAGCCGCGGUAAUACGUAGGGGGCAAGCGUUAUCCGGAUUUACUGGGUGUAAAGGGUGCGUAGGUGGCAGGGCAAGUCAGAUGUGAAAGCCCGGGGCUCAACCCCGGUACUGCAUUUGAAACUGUCCAGCUGGAAUGCAGGAGAG
RNAcentral lists this ribosomal RNA (305 nucleotides) under uncultured bacterium. RNAcentral's name for it is "bacterial SSU rRNA". It matches the Rfam family "Bacterial small subunit ribosomal RNA", at positions 335 to 656 of the family's 1533-position model. The record is from RNAcentral.